ACCCGAAGGAAGGCGGCAACAGCGAGUACCUGCGCCAAGGUUCCCUCUAUCUGGCCUUUGUUCUCCGCUCGAUGGUACUGCGCAUGCGUAGUUGCCUCAGCACGGUCCCCGCCUUCCCGACCGCGGGCCCAGCUCCGUAGCGCCGGCGCACUGGCGCGCUCCGUUCACACGCUCCGCGGCCUGUAAGGCACCGCGAGUUCCGGCUGUCGCCGUCACCGCCGCGGCUCCUGGAGGUCGGUUGCGACGAGUAACGGCGCCGGGACGAGCCCCGCGCCUUCGUUUCCUAUAUGUAUCCGAAUUGGGGCCGGUAUGGCGGGAGCAGCCACUAUCCGCCGCCGCCGGUGCCGCCGCCGCCGCCACCGGUGGCGCUUCCCGAGGCCUCGCCGGGGCCCGGGUACUCCAGUUCGACGGCUCCCGCGGCCCCUUCCUCUUCAGGCUUCAUGAGCUUCCGAGAGCAACACUUGGCGCAGCUCCAGCAGCUGCAGCAGAUGCACCAGAAGCAAAUGCAGUGCGUGCUCCAACCCCACCAUCUUCCUCCGCCCCCGCUGCCACCCCCGCCGGUGAUGCCCGGGGGCGGCUACGGAGACUGGCAGCCGCCUCCGCCACCGAUGCCCCCGCCACCUGGACCAGCCCUCAGUUAUCAGAAGCAGCAGCAGUACAAACACCAGAUGAUCCACCACCAACGAGAUGGGCCUCCGGGUUUGGUUCCAAUGGAGCUGGAGUCCCCUCCUGAAUCUCCCCCUGUACCUCCAGGAUCCUACAUGCCCCCAUCCCAGUCGUACAUGCCUCCACCUCAGCCACCACCCUCGUACUAUCCCCCUUCCUCCGCUCAGCCCUACCUGCCUCCUGCUCAGCCAUCCCCUUCACAGUCUCCACCUUCCCAGUCCUAUCUGGCGCCCACUCCUUCUUAUUCUUCCUCGUCCUCCUCACAAUCAUAUUUGAGCCAUUCCCAGCCCUACUUACCCCCUUCUCAGGCCUCUCCUUCCCGCUCCUCCCAGGGCCCUUCUAAACCCCAGCUACCACCACCACCGUCCAUCCCUUCUGGGAAUAAAACAGCUAUCCAGCAAGAGCCUUUGGAGAGUGGGGCCAAGAACAAGACUGCUGAACAGAAGCAAGCUGCUCCUGAACCAGAUCCCUCUACAAUGACUCCACAGGAGCAACAACAAUAUUGGUAUCGACAGCAUCUACUUAGUUUGCAGCAGAGGACAAAGGUGCAUUUGCCGGGACAUAAAAAGGGUCUUGUCACAGCAAAGGAUGUACCAGAACCCAUCAAAGAAGAAGCUCCGGGGCCAGCUGCCAGUCAGGUAGCAGAACCUCUUGCAGCUGAGAAGCCCCCAUUGCCACCUCCCAAUGAAGAAGCACCACCUCCGCUCUCACCUGAGGAACCCCAGUCAGAAGACUCAGAAGACUCGGAAGACUCUGAGGAGGAUGCUAGAUUUAAACAGUUGAAGGCUAUAGCAGCACAUUGGCAGGCUGCAGCAGCACAUUGGCAACAGCAGCAGCAGCAGCGAGUCGGCUUCCAGUAUCAAGGAAUAAUGCAGAGGCACACACAGUUACAGCAGAUCCUGCAGCAGUACCAGCAAGUUAUCCAGCACUCACCACACAUACAGACCAUGUCUCUGGAUGUGCAGCUGCGACAUUAUGAGAUGCAGCAGCAACAGUUUCAACAUCUCUUUCAAGACUGGGAGCGAGAGUUUCAGCUGUGGGAGGAGCAGCUCCAUUCCUAUCCUCAUAAAGAUCAGCUUCAGGAGUAUGAGAAGCAGUGGAAGACAUGGCAGGGACAUAUGAAAGCCACUCAGACCUAUCUCCAGGAGAAAGUCAACUCGUUCCAGACUGUGAAGAGCCAGUACCUGGGGAACAUGGCAAUGCCACCUCCGUUUGUUCCGUAUUCUCAGAUGCCUCCACCUCUGCCAACAAUGCCACCUCCAGUAUUACCUCCAUCCUUGCCACCACCAGUGAUGCCCCCUGCCCUGCCUACCUCCAUCCCACCACCUGGCAUGCCUCCGCCUGUGAUGCCACCUUCUCUGCCAACCUCUGUCCCCCCACCAGGAAUGCCUCCAUCUCUUUCUUCAGGGCCACCUCCAGUUCUCCCUCCACCUGCCCUCUCUUCAGCAGGGUCACCACCAGUCCUUCCCCCACCGGCUCUACCUGGGGGACCACCCAUCCUACCCCUCCCACCAUUAUCUUCAGCCACACCUCCCCCAGGAAUACCUCCCCCUGGAGCUCCACAAGGGAUGCCUCCUCAGUUAACAGCCCCACUUCCACCAGCUUCUGGUUCUCAGAACUCACAGAUCCCAGAGAAACCUAGACAAGCACUGCUUCCCACACCUGUGUCUUUUGGAUCGACCCCACCUUCACCAUAUCACCCUCCACCUCAGUCAGAACAAGUGAAUUCCAAACCUCUGAACAAGGUGUUCUCAUCUGAGCAAGGACUGGGCGAGUCUUCUGCUCUAUCUCAGUCCAUCAUUGCAGCUAAGGACACGCCAGUGAAGUCAGGUGGACUGCUUGCAGACCCUCCUAAGGGCAGUUUCUUGGAAGGUCCGAGAGGUCCAAGAUUUGAUGGUCCUCGAAGAUUUGAGGAUUUAGGGUCAAGGUGUGAAGGACCGAGACCCAAAGGGCCUCGUUUUGAAGGAAAUCGCCCCGAUGGGCCAAGACCCAGAUAUGAAAGUCACCCAGCAGAGGGCACUAAAAGCAAAUGGGGAACGAUCCCUCGGGGCCCAGCAUCUCAAUUUUAUAUAACUCCCAAUACAUCCCUAAGUCCUCGACAGAGUGGACCACAGUGGAAAGGCCCCAAAGCAACUGUUGGACAGCAGCAUCAGCAGCAGCCUAAGCAGCAACCUAAGUCACAAGCAGAACCUCUUUCAGGAAACAAAGAGCCAUUAGCAGAUACAAGUAAUAACCAACAGAAGAAUUUAAAAAUUCAGUCAGCUGCGUUUUCCAUUUCCGCAGAUGUCAAGGAUACCAAGGCAGCUCAGUCAAAUGAGAAUCUAAGUGACUCUCAACAAGAGCCAACCAAAAGCCAAGUCUCGGAAGGGCCCGUAGAGCCCUCUAAUUGGAACCAGAAUUCUCAAAGUAUGGAGACUGAAAUGGACAAAGCAGAAGGUGUUACUCAGCCUGUAUCCCUUGCAAACAAACCUGUACCUACUCAAUCUACUUUCCCCUCAAAAGUAGGGAGCAUGGAGGGAGGAGCCGCAGCAGCAGCACUGACUGCAGACGAUUUCAAACCUUUGGGUGUUGGUUUGUCCCACUCAGAAAACCACCAAGAAAAAGAUCUUCCUCAGCCAGACAGCAGAGAAAAUAGAUUAGAAGGCAAUAAAGGCAGCAGCUCAUCAUAUAGAGGUCCUGGGCAGAACAGAGUGGAAGAGUCACGGGAUAAAGGACUAGUAAACAGAGGUCGUGGCCAGAUAAUUAACCGUGGUCCAGGUCUGGUCAAGCAAGAAGAUUUCCAUGAUAAAAUGAUGGGUAGAAGAGAAGACAGUCGUGAGAAAAUGAACAGAGGAGAAGGCAACCGGGACAGGGUGUUUGUGAGGCCAGGAAGCAGUCGGGAUAAAAUACCAGGUGGCCUACAAGACAGCCAGGACAGUAGAGCCAACAGCCGAGAAAGGGGGCCACCUCGCAGGGCUGGCAGUCAGGAGAGAGGACCUCCUCGAAGGGCUGGAAGUAGAGAGAGAGUACCCCCUCAAAGAGCUGGAAGCAGGGAGAGGGUACCACCUCGUGGUCCAGGUAGUCGAGAAAGGGGGUUAGGAAGGCCAGAUUUUGGUCAUGAUAGAGUUCCAUUCAGAUCAGAACUAGGAGAUGGUGGAGACAAAGUGUAUCCUUAUCACCGAGAUGAACCUUCUAGGGCUUCGUGGAACCAUGGAGAAGAGAGAGGACAUGAAGAGUUCCCAGUAGAUGGUAGAAAUGCUCCAAUUGAGCGAGAAAGACUCGAUGACUGGGAUAGAAAGAGAUACUGGAGAGAGUGUGAACGUGACUAUCAAGAUGAUACACUAGAUUCAUACAGCAGAGAGGACAGGUUCUCAGCACCACCAUCACGGUCUCAUGAUGGAGACAGGCGAGGCCCUUGGUGGGAUGAUUGGGAAAGAGAUCAGGAUAUGGAUGAGGGUUAUGGUAGGGAAAUGGACAGGGACUUAGACAGAGAUGUGGAUCGCAUUAGAAGACCUUUGGAUAUAUAUGAUAGAAAUGUGGAUAACGAGUGGGACAGAGAUUAUGGGAGACCACUGGAUGAACAAGAAUCACAGUUUCGUGAACGAGAUAUUCCAUCUCUUCCACCUUUACCACCCCUCCCACCUCUUCCACCUUUGGAUAGAUAUCGGGAUGAUAGAUGGAGAGAAGAAAGAAAUCGAGACCAUGGGUAUGACCGAGAUUUCCGUGAUAGGGGUGAGUUGAGGAUUCGAGAGUAUCCAGAAAGAGGAGAUACAUGGCGGGAAAAGCGAGAUUAUGUUCCUGACAGAAUGGACUGGGAAAGAGAACGGUUGUCAGACAGAUGGUACCCAUCUGAUGUGGAUAGACAUUCCCCCAUGGCGGAACAUAUGCCAUCCUCACAUCAUUCCUCUGAAAUGAUGGGGUCCGAUGCAAACUUAGACUCUGACCAAGGCCUUGGAGGGGUAAUGGUUCUCAGUCAGAGGCAGCACGAAAUCAUUUUGAAAGCUGCACAAGAAUUGAAAAUGCUUCGAGAACAGAAAGAGCAGCUUCAAAAGUUGAAAGACUUUGGGUCUGAGCCACAGAUGGCUGACCAUCUACCACCCCCAGACUCAAGACUACAGAAUCCAUCAAGACCUGGGAUGUAUCCGCCUCCAGGAUCCUAUAGACCACCCCCUCCUAUGGGUAAGCCACCUGGGUCAAUUGUAAGACCCUCUGCUCCACCAGCAAGAUCAUCUAUUCCUAUGACUAGGCCUCCUGUGCCAAUACCACCACCGCCUCCUCCACCUCCACCACCACCACCUCCUCCUCCAGUUAUAAAGUCAAAAACCUCAUCUGUGAAACAGGAACGCUGGGAUGAAGAUUCUUUCUUUGGGCUCUGGGAUACAAAUGAUGAUCAAGGACUGAAUUCAGAAUUUAAGCGAGACACUGCAACAAUUCCGUCUGCUCCGGUGUUACCACCCCCACCUGUUCAUUCUUCCAUUCCCCCUCCUGGCCCAAUGCCUAUGGGUAUGCCACCAAUGUCCAAACCACCACCAGUGCAGCAUACAGUUGACUAUGGCCAUGGCCGAGAUAUGCCUACUAAUAAAGUUGAACAGAUACCAUAUGGAGAAAGAAUAACUCUACGUCCAGAUCCAUUACCUGAAAGGUCAACUUUUGAUGCAGAUCAUGCAGGCCAGCGUGAUCGCUAUGAUAGAGAUAGAGACCGUGAACCUUAUUUUGACCGUCCAAGUAAUAUAACAGAUCAUCGAGAUUUUAAAAGGGACCGAGAGACACAUAGAGAUAGAGACCGAGAUCGUGUUCUUGACUAUGAGCGGGACCGAUUUGACAGAGAGCGCAGACCCCGAGAUGACAGGAAUCAAUCAUAUCGAGACAAAAAAGACCAUUCUUCAUCCAGAAGAGGAGGGUUUGACAGGCCAUCCUAUGACCGGAAGUCUGAUAGACCACCCUAUGAAGGCCCACCCAUGUUUGGAGGAGAACGAAGAACUUACCCAGAGGAGCGCAUGCCCCUUCCAGCUCCUGCCCUGGGCCACCAGCCACCUCCAGUUCCUCGGGUUGAGAAGAAGCCGGAGUCCAAAAAUGUGGAUGACAUUCUGAAACCGCCGGGCCGGGAGAGCCGGCCUGAAAGAAUUGUUGUUAUAAUGAGAGGAUUGCCUGGCAGUGGAAAGACACAUGUUGCAAAACUUAUCCGGGAUAAGGAAGUAGAAUUUGGAGGACCUGCCCCCAGGGUUUUAAGUCUAGAUGAUUAUUUCAUCGCUGAAGUAGAAAAAGAAGAAAAAGAUCCAGAUUCUGGAAAGAAAGUAAAAAAGAAGGUAAUGGAAUAUGAAUAUGAAGCUGACAUGGAAGAGACUUAUCGCACCAGCAUGUUCAAAACUUUCAAAAAGACUCUAGAUGACGGCUUUUUCCCUUUCAUUAUUCUGGAUGCUAUCAAUGACAGAGUUAGACAUUUUGAUCAGUUUUGGAGUGCAGCGAAAACCAAGGGUUUUGAGGUGUAUUUGGCUGAAAUGAGUGCUGAUAACCAGACUUGUGGCAAGAGAAAUAUUCAUGGAAGAAAGCUUAAAGAAAUAAACAAGAUGGCUGAACACUGGGAAGUUGCACCUCGUCACAUGAUGCGUCUAGACAUCCGCUCCCUGCUACAAGAUGCUGCGAUUGAAGAAGUAGAGAUGGAAGAUUUUGAUGCUAACAUUGAAGACCAGAAGGAAGAAAAGAAAGAUGCAGAAGAAGAGGAAAGCGAACUGACAAGUUGGAUGGCUUGAGGACUGGUACUAAAAGGAAGCGAGACUGGGAGGCGAUUGCCAGCAGAAUGGAGGAUUACCUUCAGCUCCCUGACGACUACGAGACUCGCGCUUCUGAGCCUGGGAAGAAGAGGGUGAGAUGGGCAGACCUAGAAGAAAAGAAGGAUGCAGAUAGGAAAAGGGCCAUAGGUUUUGUGGUCGGACAGACUGAUUGGGAGAAGAUCACAGAUGAGAGUGGUCACCUGGCUGAAAGAGCCCUCAAUCGGACCAAAUAUAUAUGAGACUUAGUUUUGAAUGGAGUCAUGUUCCUCUAAGGUGGUUCGAUGUGAGGCGACCUGAAGCUCAGCCCUCGGGAAGCUUCUUGUGUCUGGAAGCUUCUUGUGUCUCCACGUUUCAAUUUUGUUUUGUUUUACCACUUUCAUUUUUAAACGUUUUCCAGUAUCCCCCCCAAAAUUUUAGAAUCUUGCUAUAUCCAAGCAAGACAUUAUUAAUAUUUUUUUUAAACUAAUUUGGGGAGGGAGGGUUAGCUUAAGUGCUAAGUCAGGUGUGGAUCCACAGGAGGGUUCCAACAGAGUGUUUCCUCCACUGUAUACUGUCACAGACUAUCAUCAUUGCUUUGUGGCUGGUUUUGUUUUUUUACUGUAUGUAACAAGUAGCUGAUUGUACUUGGAUAAAAAACAAUAAACUUUCACUAUAAAGCCAAUGAGAUUCAUAGGCUGUACAGUAUGGGCCCUUUUCUCUUAUUUUCUUACAUUUAUUUUUAUUGUUAAUUAAAUGCAGUAUGUCCUGCUUGCUGACCACCCCCAAACCACCUCUUUACUAUUGAAUAUUAGCACAGCUGUUUGGUAGCACAUUGUAAAACUCCAUGAUUGCAAAGUGUCCAGUGAUGACCAAAACAUUCAACUUUAUAGAUGGAGUUCUCUUUCUUUGUGUCUUAAAGACUAACAGAAUCAAGUCUAAAUAUCCAUCAAUUUUCUGAGACAUCUCUCUCUCUCUCUCUCUCCCUCUCUCUCUCUCUCUCUCUCCCUCCCUCCCUCCCCCCUCAGGAGGGGGAAAUACGGUGUUACCUCUUUAUUCUUCCUUUCUCUUUGUGCUACCUUGUUUGAUUUCCUCCCUCUCCCCCCCCCCCCUUUAGCUGGUUUUAAAUACAGGUGAACAGAAAUGAUACAUUCCAUAGAACUCAAGUUGUUGCCUUGUUUUGAACUUGAAUCGUUGCUUUCUAAGACAGGAUCAUGGUAAAGGAGUAUGAAAAGUCUCCAGCCCUCUGGCAAGCAGUCUUUGAGCCUGGCCAGCUUUUCAGGCUCUUGCCAGAUUGCUCAUUAUUGUAAAACUUGGCCUUCAGCAUAGAAUUUCAUCUCCUGUGGAUAAUCCCACUCAGAACCCAGAAGCAGAGCUUACAUCCAGAUAACAUUCUUCCUUAAGUAUAGAAAGGAGGUGCUUGCUUUUUAUCAGUCUUCACAGAUAGAGAUGAACUUUCUUCCUCAAACACUAUUUCUUGGUGGCAAGCCAGCUCAACAACUUGGGAACAUGUUAACAGAUGACCUCAGCAUUAUGUCAUGGUUGGAAAUCUUUAGUUUUUCAAUCUACAUUAAAUACUGUGCUUGGAGCUAAUAUUUCUUAGCAGUUCAGGAGUGUUACUUUGGGUUCAGUAAUGACCUUCUCAGACUGAAGGCACUAAUCGUAACAUCUUCCUGUACUUUUCCCUCAAAUUCUGAAUGUUUAUGCCUAAAAGACUAGGUUCAUUAACAAGUUAAUAUUGAAUGUAUAAUUUGCUUAAUUUAAUGAUUUGCACUGUUUGUAAUGUUUAAUAAUCUAUUUUGGUGGCUAAGGACUGUAAUCUAUUUCUGCAUAUGGAUCCAUCUUAGCUACCUUUAUUAUACUGGAAAAUGUUACAUGGUAAGAUAGCCAAAUAGAGCUAUUGUUUGUACAAAGACUCAUUUAACACUUAUCUUUUCUUACUAAAGUAAGACUUGUAAAGUUAUUUUCCUGCUUGAGAAGAAAAGAAGGCCUCUUUGUUCCUCACCUUUAACCUUUGUGUAGCAUUUGAAACACCCGAGAGAUGAGUGUUGGUUACCCACGAAUCAUGGGUCUCAGCAUCGUCAGCCAUGGCCUGUGGCAGUUUUCAGAAAGUAGUUAGAGGAGCCACAGUCAAGAGCUGCCUGCUUUCAGAAGUGGGUUCAUCUACAGAGAGUCAGAAAAAAGAACCAGAAAGCAGUAAGGAAGAUAACCAAUUAAUACUUGAUUCUACAAGGCCAGUAGGAAACUCUUAAGAAAUCCUAAUUUUUAUUAUCACCUAAACCAACAGAAUAGAAGGUCAAGUGGUAUCUUGGGGAGUUUUGGGUUGGGUAAACAUUUUGUAGUGAGUCAACUCUUCUUAGUUACAGUACAAACCUAGAGUCUGUGUGUUUGCAGAUUUAUUACUGUUAUCUUUCUUAUUUCAGAAAGCAAUCCGGUAUUAUUUUGCAUUUGUAUUUAAAUCAUUUUAGUUGUGGUUUCUUUUAUCUGGCUGGAUUUAUUUCACUUAUGGCAGAAAGAGCAAGUCAAAGACCCCAUCCAGAGUAUUGACUAUACAUUUUAAAUUGAACUAAUAGUUUUCCACUUGGGUUUCCUUGGUUUGGAGCCACUUGGAGUUUGUGUUAAAUGUUUUAUCCUGGUAACCACAAGUUACAGGUAUUUGUUAAUGGGCGUCUAGAGCUGGGCUAGGACUAUAAAGGCAGCAAGUUCUCAGGAGCAGACUGGCAGAUCUUAGAAUUUUAGCUGAAGUGUUAAAGCAGGCUAAGGAAGGGGAAUGAUUCCUUGUUUUUGUAUUGAUAGAUUGUCAUACAAACUCUGUUCCUCUCUCAGAACCUAUGUGACCUCAAGUGACUCUUAACUUUCUGAACACCAGUUUCAUCUGUAGAUAUGAAAAUGGAAUUAUAAAUGCCUUUUUGCCUAAUACGGAUCAUAGUAAAACACACCUCACUAUUCUGAGGAUAAAAUUGGACUAUUAUGCUCUGCUGCUGUCAUAGGACCCAGCCACAAAGUAAAAGAUAAAAAUCAGUAGUCGUGCAUGAUACAGGCCUUUAAUCCCUGGCAGAGACAAGUAGAUCCCUGUGUUUUCAAGGACAGCUUGCUCUCCACAGAGAAGCCUUGUCUUGGAAAACAGAAACAAAACAAAAAGCAAAUCAGUAGUAAAUUACUUAACUUUUUCUCGGAUGCUUCUGAAACUCUUACUUCCCAGCUGUCCUAAAGAGAGUUCUGCCACCGUAUAGCUGCUAUAGAUUGAGCUGAGCCAUGGAAACAGUGCAGGGUGUGAGGAGGUGGAAGAGUUGAAAGCAUCUGUAGGAAGCUGGUGGCCUAUCCUCAGGACCAGCGUGGAAGCUUGAGGGGCUCAAGAGCAAAGCAGGAGUCAUGACAGGAUGGAAUCGCCAGACCGUGGGCAUGAGCACAGAUAACAUGAAAAACACCACGGUGCUUAUGAGAAUGUGUCCCGCUCAUAUGGUGUAAAAUUGGAAAUGGUCAGGAAUGUCAUAAACACUGUCACCUGCCCCCCUCCCCCAGCUUCCCACUGCACCUAGAGCCAACAUUAAAAGCUAAUUUUAUGCUUUUUAAGAAAAUUCUGUGGGUUGGCUAAGUAGUCACUUUGUCAGCGGUCUUUAUGGACUACUUUGUUUUCCUUUUAAGAGUGAGGUUUAGUGGCCAUUCAAAUCAUACAUAAAAUAUUUCUGUUAUCUCCCUUUAGUUUCCCAAAGUUAACGUCUUAUUAUUAAAGGGUAUUUUCGGAAAACUUUCAGAAAUGGUUUCAACUAAAUCACUAUUGUUUUUGUGGCAUUGAGCACAUGAUAGAGAUGUUACACAAGUCUCAGCACUUGCUGGUUUGAGAAGUCACCCCUAAAGCCCCUUGCACAUUUGAUUUUAGACAGCCACCAUUCUGUUUUCCAUUUGUAUACUCUCGUCAUUUAAAGAAUAUUACACAUGUAAAAUACAUUACAUAGUCCUUUGGGAUUGGUGGAACCUUUUGUCAUUGGCCUAGUUCCUUUGAGGCUUUUUCAAAUUGUCAUGUAUAUCUGUUAAUCAAUUUAAUGAUGACUAGCCUUAGAUCCCAUUCUCUCUUGUGGCUGUAUCAUAUAAUCGACAUGAUUAUGAAAAUUUACUUACCAGGUCUCAAUUGUUUGGUACUUUUCCUGUCUUUUGCUGCUCUAAAUUGUGAAGUUUCUUUGCACUCAAUCUGCCUUCCUACACCUACCUAAUUUCCAGCAAUGAAGAAACAAUACCAGUGGCAUCCUUUGCACAGAUGUCCUCAAACUGUAACACUCCACACAGCAUAGCACAGUGGUAGACUGCUAUCAAGAGACCACGACUUUAAGGAGGUGACAACGACAGACUUGCUUCCCUAGAAAACCCUUCAUGAUUGAAUUGUGACAAAACGGGGACCUGAAUGAUCAGAGACUCAUGCCUCCCUGAUCCAUACAUGACUUGAGAGUUGAGACUCCUAGCUGCUGUCCAUGGGACCUGUACCUCAAGGCGUGGACCGAUGUCAGUUAUGCAGCCUGUUGCUGAAAGUCUGGAAGGAAGAUGGUGGUGCUCUGCAGUGAUGGAUCGCGCUCUGGAUGCAUGCCACAGGGCACCUGAGAACUUAAUGCUUUACGAUGUAGGUAAAGCUUAACUGAGUCUUCCACUUAAGAAACUUGAAUGUUCUCCCAGAUAUCCAUAACCUUGUUUCUGAGCGUAAAGCAUAGAUAGUAAUAAAAGAAAAUCUUUCUUACUUGGGGAAUAGGAACAGUCCAUUCCACUGUCACUUCAAAUCCCACUCAGGUCUACUUCCUAAUUAGAAGAAUGUUCGAGAAAUAUUCUCCCUGCCCUCCUUCCCUCCCUCCCUCCCUCUUCCUCUUUUCUUAGUACUUCAUGCCUCCAUGAGGAAGAAAUGGAACCUCCAGAGGGUCAGUAAUGCCUCUUUCACCUUGCUCGAGAAUCAGCAGAAUACUUUGGGUGCCUUUAUGUGGUUGGCAGAAUUGUUGCAAAGACUACCACAAAUUAAACACUUGGUUAUUUUAGUUGCUCUGCCAGAGCGGGGCAACAUCUCAUUCCAUAAAAUUGGUUGAGUGUUCUCUCAUGCUUAAUCCUUUCGAAGCAUUUAGCUCCAUAUGUAGCUUAUAUGUUUGUAGAGAGAAUAAAUAGUGGAAUGCUUCUUGUAUACAUACAGGAAUCACAACAUCAUGUAGAAUUGACACAUGAGUCCCGAGGCAGAGAGGUUGCUUGUUAUAGUGCUUUGAUACCAUGGUAGUUAUGGUCAGAAGAGGGCAGCACUCUCCGACCAAUUGUGAAAUUCACUCUCCACCAGUGAAAAUUGUGACUGUGGACGGAUUUGAAUCUUGGCUUGCCCGAUUUUCUAGAACGCUGUCUGGACAUAGUGGCACAUGCUGUAAUCUCAGCACUUAGGAGUUGUAGUCAGAAAGACCAGGAGCCCAAAGCCAGCUUGGCUCUAUAGACAUCUUUUAUUCUCUAAUAAUUCCCCAUGUGUGUACAGUGACUCUUAAACAUACACAUUCCCACCUCACCUUCAUGUCCUCUCCUUUUUUGUUGCUGGGUUUUUUGGUGGUUGGUUGGUUGGUUGGUUGGUUGGUUGGUUGGUUGGUUGGUUGGUUUUGUUUUAACGCAUCGAUUUCAAUUAAUGCUGUUGGGUGGUCUUGGUUUGAUAUUGUGCAGGUGACCAUAGUGGCUGUUGAGUUAGGAGUGCACUGGCUGUGUGCUUCGAAGACAGCAUCUCCCAGCGUUCUGACCCGUCCCUCACUUACAUCCUUUCCACCCUUCUUCCACAGUGUUUCUUGGGGUGGGCUGAGUGUAAGCACUUAACCGCCAUUUAUUUGACUUUAGAUUGUUUUUAACAUGAGAAUCUCAGUAUUUUAGCAACAAGAACUUUGCUUUGGAAGGUGAGUUGUAAGUGACUUAGCUCAUCUGACUCAAGGGCUGCCUGCCCCCUUUGAAACCCUUGACAUUUAACAGAUGGGGGGGGGCUUUGGGCUCAUUCUAGUACCCCACCCCGUCUGCCUUUAUUUUUAUUCUUAGUUUUUAUUUAAAUGUGAGCUAAACAAGAACAAAAGAACUUCAUUAAUUUCGUACAGUGAGGAACAGACUGGAGUUUGGGUUUCCUGGUCUAUAACUCAGCACUUUGGUUUUCUUGACAAUUCCUUCAUGAAGGCUUUUUUUUCUUUUUCUUUUUUUUUGUUUUUCGAGACAGGGUUUCUCUGUAGUCCUGGCUGUCCUGGAACUCACUUUGUAGACCAGGCUGGCCUCGAACUCAGAAAUUCACCUGCCUCUGCCUCCCAAGUGCUAGGAUUAAAGGCGUGUGCCACCACCGCCCGGCUCAUGAAGGCUUUAAAACCAUAUUAGGAUGGUAAAUUCUCUACUAUUGUGUGUGUAACUAAACUGUAUGAACCUAAAAUACAUCCUGUAAGUUUCUCUUUGAGGAACAACACCAUACAUUUAAAAUAUCUUCCUGAAUUCUCAACAGUCACAGGGCGGUUAUACACCUAGGAUCGCCCAUAAAAAUUACUGUGUUUGAUAUUUUUCUUUUUCCUCACAGCUUAAAAAUUAAUCAUCUUAAAUGUUGUUAUGGUGCAAAAAUAAUGGAGUUUUCUCUCAGGGUAGGGGAGAUCAUGAUUAAUCAUGAUUUUUCUUCUUUUUUUUUUCCUUUUUCUGUGUGUGUGUGUGUGUGUGUGUGUGUGUGUGUGUGUGUGUGUGUGUGUGUGUGUUUCAGGCUGGCGUCAAGCUCAUAGAGCUCUGCCUGCCUCAGCUCCCCAGUGCUGAGCCUAAAGGCAUGGACCACCACCGCCUGGCAGUGCCUGUUUCUUUACCUCUAGUAAUCAGCAUCUUAUCUACUUCAAUUUGUAAUUCCCCAUUAAGCACCUUACUAAUUAAGGACAAGGUCAUCCACUUCAAAUGGUGGUCUGCUAGCAGCCUGGCUCCCAGCACUGGCUCCAGCGUCCUCCAAGCUUACUGCAGGGACACUGGGCCUCGGCUCCCUGAGUAUUCCCUCUGGCUUCCCUGUGUCCCCUCUUUAUGACGUAUAGUUAUCUGAUCCACACGUUCCCUCCUCCCUGAAGCUGAUCCUCGUCUUGGCCCUCCUCCACGCUCUCACGGAUUUGUACCCCUGUCUUUGUUGGCUUGGCUUUGGUUUUUGGGCUUUGGUGUUUUGUUUUGUUUUGUUUUGUUUUUUAAGGCAGGGCUUCUCUGUAUAGCCCUGGCUGUCCUGGAACUCACUCUGUAGACCAGGCUGGCCUCGAACUCAGAAAUCCGCCUGCCUCUGCCUUUGGCUUGCCUUUAUAAGUUGAGUAGCUGGACACUUGUCAUUUGCAUCUUCUCUGAGUCCUAAGAACAAACUCUUAGAAGGGAGGAACUUUUACUCCUCCUCUGUUCUGGUAUUGGCCUCAGAUCUGGUCUCUAUUCUUUACAGUUGACGCUUACACUGGUACCUAGAAAAUUUAAAUAUGGUAAACGUUCAUGUAGGUCACCAUAUGUGCAGUUUACACAGCCAGGUUUUGUGCUUGCCUUUUCAUUGGCUGUGUCUUGCCACUGAUUGCAUACCCACUCAUAUGUUAUAUAAACCAGGCAUCACGAAUUCAAAUGUCUUCAGAGCAGAGGAAGCUAAUACAAAUAAGAGGCUUGGCCAAUACAACAGGAUAGUUUUCAAAUUAGCCAUAUAGGAAUAUUCUCAUGGAAAAAUGCUCCCCCUCCCCCCGUUGAAACAGUAUAUAUAGACUGCCUUACUUUUCCCCCUGGGGAGAGUUACAAAGGCAAGUAUUGUCUUUUUACUGUGUAUACCUAAAGUACAGUGAUGCGGGGUAGCCGGGAGGGAAGAGAGCUUGGUGAGGACGGGACUGCUACAAAGUGCCUGACCCAUGGAAUGGUAACUGCCUUCAAGGAAAGUACCAGCAUUCCCUGAUAAAGGUAAUUGGAAAUCUGGAUUUUUAUGUGAAGUGGUUUUUACAAAAUACUGCGGAGACUACUAGAAGCUACAUUUGGAGGUUACAAACUACCUGCCAUAAUCUGAGGGCUUCUGAUGUAUAUCCUGAGGGCUGGUAAUAAUUCUGAAAGGCAUUGUUAGGAAGGCUUAUGUGAUUAAGUUGCAUAUAUAAAUGUAUGAUCACUUUGUAUCUGAUAUUUUGGAAAGGCAGUUGUUUUCCCUGAGCAAGGCAAUACAAUACACUCAGUGAAUUUGCAGUGGGCUUCCCCUUCCCCGGCUCCUGAAGGUAGACAUGAGCCGUUUACACAGAAAAAGGAACCAGCGAGCCUGCCCUUGGGUUCAGUGGAGCCAGCAGCUGAGCGGCUGUGCUGAGCUGGUGAAUUUGACCAGAAUGCCUGCUGUAAACAUGCUUUCUGUUGCCACUGGAGAAAGAUGAGUGCCAUGAAAGCUGCUUUCUCAGCGCCUGUUACCAUCAAGGUAGGUAUAAUUUGAUGUUUCUUAAGAGUAUUGGGCAUUAUCUCUCUCUUGUUUUAAAUUGAUGUAUUUAUUCCAGACACAAUAUAUGAAUUUAUUUUCAUUAUUAAGGUUAAAUAUUACAGCCAAAACUUAUCAACACUCACCAUCCCCCUUUAGGAAGUAUUUAGUGAUGCCAUUUCAUUUGAAGGUUGGUUUUCCAUAUGUUCUUGUUUGUACAAAUGUACAGACAGGUACAUUAAAUAUAUAGUCUGUUUAACAUUUGUGAGAGCCCUCACACUUUCUGUACAUCACUAUCUUGGAUGCACAUAAAUUCCUGUGUAUGCAUUCAGAUUUUUGUUUGUUUGUUUGUUUGUUUGUUUGUUUUUUGAGAGAGGGUCUCACUGUGGGCCUGGCUGUCCUCAAACUCACUGUGUUGACCAGGCUGGCCUCAGACUCACAGAGAGCUGCCUGCCUCUGCCUUCCUUUCAGGAUUAAAGGUAAAGGUGUGUGCCAUUGCACGGACACGCACACGCACGCACACACACACACACACACACACAUUUCCCCCCACUGAGUCUCUGCCCUCCUGUUGCAUCAUCUCACAUCCUUGCAGGUGCUCCUUAUGUGCAUAUGCUCUCAUUUUUCCAGUGAAAGUCGAGAAGACUCUAAACCCUGGGCCAUGGGGAAAUAAUUUCUCUUUUACUUAUUCCUAGUAAUUACUGUUUUAGAAAUUGAAAAUUAACAAUGUUUGAGAUACAUUUUUUUAAUGGAUUUUUACCCUACAAUGGCACCUAUUUAUUUUUUGGUGGUCGAUAGUUAGCUUCGAACACCCCUUUCAUCCUUGUGUAAACCUGCUCAGGAAUCUGUUGUUCUUCCAUGGAUCCUAGGAGCCAAAAUGAAGUCGUCAGACUUGGCAGCAAGCACAUUUAUUCGCCAGGUUCUCUCACCAUCCCAGCACUCUUGACAUUUUGGAAUGCCAGUUUGGGGCUCAAGCCAUGAGUCGUCAUGGAAAAGUGUCUGGUGCUCUUGCAGAGGAACGGGUUGAGUUCCAGCACCCGGCAGUUCUUAGCUCCCCUGAGCUACAGCUGCAGAAGAUGCAACGCCUGGUCUUCUCCAGGCACUGCACUCAUGCACAAGCCCACACUUACAAAUGCACAUAAGUUAAAAGUACAGGUACAGCUAGACAUGGUGAUGUUCCCUGUUAGUCUAGCACUCUGAUCUCUGAGUUCAGGGUAUACCUCAUGGACAUGAGUAAGUUCCAGGCCAGCCAGUACUACACAGUAAGACCUUGUCUCAAAACAAACGAAAAACAAAAAAAAGCCAGUUUUUAAGAUACCCUUAUUUAAAUCUAAGGUUUAAUAUAUGUUUGGAAUUAAUAUAGGUAAACAGGGCCUGGAGAGAUGGCUCAGCAGUUAAGAGCACUGACUGCUCUUCUGGAGGUCCUGAGUUCAAAUCCCAGCAACCACAUGGUGGCUCACAACCAUCUGUAACAAGACCUGAGUCCCUCUUCUGGCGUCUAAAGACAGCUACAGUGUACUUACAUAUAAUAAAUAAAAUAAAUCUUUUUUUAAAAAAAUGUAUAUAUAUGUAUAUAUACAUAUAUAUAUACACACACAUAUAUAUGUAAACAGAAUAGGUUCUAGUUCAAAAUUAAGUUUUUAAAAUAGGCAUCGAAUGGCUUUAAAAUGGGACUGCCUCUAGGCACUUUCUACCUCAUGUAGUGAAUACUGGAAUACUUUACAUGAGAACUAUUCAUUUAGUUAGGCAUGGAACCUUUUUUAUUACGAGACAGUCUUUUUGUGUGCCUCUGGCUGUCCAGGAACUCUCUGUAGAGCAGGCUGACCUCGAACUCACAGAGACCUGCUUGCCUCUUUCUCCCUAGUGCUGGAAUUAAAGGUGUGCGCCACCACUGCCCAGCUCAUUACUAAACUUUUUAUUAAGAGAACAUGACCUGAGAAUUUUCUCUCUACCGGUCUUGCUGUUAGUUGGAAAGUUACUGAUAAAUGAAGAUUCAGGGUUGAGAAUCCAUUAGGUCAUGGUGGGAUGCUUUCUUAGAGUCAGUAAACUUAACUACGUUUACCCCUUUCAUUGUGUGUACAUAUUUGGAAGGAUAGUGAUGUAGGAAGUGUGUGCUAUGUGAAGUCAUGUGAAAGAAAUUGGUUUUGGUUUCCUCCAAACUCCCAGGGAACAUUUAAAACUCCUAAGAUUAGGUAAAACUCAUAUUUGCAUAUCAGAAUUUAGGGUAGGACUCAGAUAUUUUUAUUUUUUUUUACUUGUUUGUUUUUUUAGAUCGUCUCAAUGUGGACUCAGCCGGCCUUAAACUUAACUGCCUUGCAUUACACAUGUGGCCUUUGGUAAUUUUAAAAAAUAACUUUAUAAUCUUAUAUUUACUUAUUGUGUAUGUGGCGCAGAUAUGCCACAGUGGAUGUGUGAGGUCAGAGGACAGCUUGCAGGCAUCAGUGUUCUCCACCGUGUGGGUUCUGAGGAUCAGACUGUGGUGUCAGGCUGGGUGGCAGACGCCCAUUCCUCAGCCUCAGUGUUGUAGUUGUGGGGUUUUGUUUUGUUAAGAAUUUAACUUUGCAGUUCAGGCUGGCCUCAAAUUCACAGCCAUCGCACCUCAGUCCCAGAGGACUAGGACUGUAGGUUUACGUUACCAUGCCUGGCCCAUUGGCAGUUUUUUUAAAGAUCCCAAGGUAGUACUCAACUGUGGUUGACCUUGAGACCUUAAAGAGGGUUCUGUUUGUUUGUCUCCAGGUUACAAUUCAUUCAUUAAAAACAAUUGCUGAUGUCCCAGAUCUGUUGGAAGAACACCACAAAUUCCAAAUGUAGAAGAUAAGCUAUAUGUGUGUGUUUUGCCUACAAUCUCAGUACAUGAGAGGCCAAUACUGGAAGACAUGGAGUUGAAGGCCAGCUCUAGUACAUAGUAAAUUUGUGGCUGGUUCAGGCGAUAUGAGAUCCAGUUUCAACCAGAAAGGAAGGAGUAGGGAAGGAGUGGGGAAAGAAUUGAGGGAAUGGGAGGGAGGGAGGAAGGGAGGAAGAAAAGAAAGGGGGGAAGGAAGGGAGGGAAGAAUAGAAAUAGAAUAGAAUAGAAUAGAAUAGAAUAGAAUAGAAUAGAAUAGAAUAGAAUAGAAUAGAAUAGAAUAGAAUAGAAAUUUAGAAAUGUUUACAAUUCACCUAGCCUCAGAGAGUUAGUUUCCAAAGAUACUUCAUGCCACAAAAGAACAUACUGGGAGAAACAGGCUUAGGACAAACACAUAAAACCAAGAUUAAAAUGUCUCCCGUUAGCUGAGUGUGGUGGCACACAACUGUAUUCCCAGUGCUAGGAAAGCUGAGGCAGAAGGAUCUCUGAGUUUGAAACCAGCCAGGCCAGUAAGGACUACAUAAAGAGACCCUGUCUCCAAAAACAAAACAAGUUUCUAGUCAUCUAGGCCUUCACUGGUGAGACCCUGUCUCAAAGAAAAGAGAAGGAAAAAAAAGACUCAACUUCUUGUUAUAAGUGAAACUGUAUACUUGCUUUGAAAACAUACAGAAGUUGCCGGCCGGGGGUACCGCACGCCUUUAAUCCCAGCACUUAAGAGGCAGAGGCAGGCAGAUUUCUGAGUUCGAGGCCAGCCUGGUCUACAGAGUGAGCCAGGACAGCCAGGGCUACACAGAGAAACCGUGUCUUGAAAACCAAAAAAAAAAAAAAAAAGAAAACCUACAGAAGUUAAUUAGGAAAAUAUUCAAGUUAAAAACAGUCUAUUCAAUGGAUCUGUUAAAGAUAGAAAAUUAUAUAAUUGUAGAAAUAGACUAAUUACCUAUGAUUAGAAGGAUGUCAGAAAUGGAGUCUAUUGCCCUAUAAAAGCAAGCUUUAGAAAUAAACUAGCAAACAGCAUGCCAAGCACAGCAGCAUAGGCGUGUCCUAAGGAAAAGCAAAGACAUUCAAAGUCUACAGUGCAUGGCGUUAGUGGAGCUUCUUCACUAAAGUCUUCCUCACAAUGUAUUAACUUCUGUUCAAAGCCAAAUUGUGUUCUGCAUAGAACACAUUAGUAUAUGUUCAAUCUCAUAGUUGCUAAAACUGAGAUCCAAGUAUGUCUUAUCAAUAGUGCCACAUAGUCAUUCUCUCAAGUCUUUCCCACUGGAUGUCUUUGCUCAGUUUGACAGCUGCACACGGCUAACAUUGCCAGGGAACAUACCAUGCACCAGGAGUGCUAAACAUCUCACAUGUACUCUCUUCCCCAAACCUAGGACAGUACUAGGAGAUAGGUGCUCUUUAAAAAUGGCAAAGCUGAGGCCAGAACAGAAGGUAACCCACACAGGGCCAUAGCUGGGAGGUCCCUGGGCACAGGCUUCUUAGGAAAGAUGCUGGAAUGGCAUUAGGUCACCCCUGCCUGAGGAGUGGAGCAACUGGCAGGGAGAGAUGGUGUUCUUGCAUAAGGUGAAAGAGGGUGAACCACGGAGGCCAGGAAACAGGGAGAAAACACGUUCCAAGAGAAAGAACUGGUAUCUGAGAGUAAAAAGCAUUUAGACAUGGUAAAAAACAGUUGUAGGCAUCAAGAAGCCAGAUAGUGAAGACUUGGUCCAAGAGAAACCAGACUACAAGUAGGUGGUCCUGUAAAGCCUGUGCUGUUUGGGGCAAUCUACCUCUUGUGUUUCCCUAGUGGGUGUUUCCCUUCUGCUUUCAAUGUCUAGACCAGUGGUUCUCAACCUUUCUAAUGCUGUAAUCCUUGAAUACAGUUAUCCAUCUUGUGGUGACCCCCCAGCCAUAAAACUAUUGUGUGUGUGUGUGUGUGUGUGUGUGUGUGGUUUUUCGAGACAGGGUUUCUCUGUGUAGCCCUGGCUGUCCUGGGACUCACUUUGUAGACCAGGCUGGCCUCAAACUCAGAAAUCUGCCUGCCUCUGCCUCCCGAGUGCUGGGAUUAAAGGCCUGUGCCACCACGCCUGGCAUAAAACUAUUUUCAUUGCUACUUCAUAACUGUAAUUUUGCUCCUGUUAUGAAUCAUAAGUAUCUGAUAUGCACGGUGGUCUUAGAAAGAUCCCUGUGAAAGGGUCAUUUGACACUCCCCUCCUCCCAAAGGGGCCACAACCCACAAGUUGAGAACAACUGUCCUAAGCACUUGCUUAUUCUCUUCAGGUCAGUAUCAUCUAAUAUAGAAAUUGUCUAACCCUGGAAAAUACUUUGUAAUGAAUCAACUUCUAUAGGUGAACAUUUUAUAGAUAUGUGUCAGGUGCAGGUUUACUGCAGGGAUUAUGAUCCUUGGUCUUGGUGGUCAACUUGAUUAGACCCAGAAUCACCUAGGAGACCCAUCCUUGGGCAGACAUGUGAGAAGUUAUCUAGAUUAAAGUUAGCCUCUGUGAAUGUCUGUGAAGGUCCAUCUUAGUUUGGACUGCACCCAUCUCUGGGCAGGGAUCCCAGGACUGUUAAAUGGAGAAACAGCCGGGUAUUAGCGUCCAUUGUUCUCUGCUUCCAAUCAUAAAUGAGGUAUGUCCUGCUGCCUUGACUUUAGUGAUGAUGAACUAUACCCUUGUAUUGUGAGCCAGAAUAAAUCCUUUCUUUCUUA
Molecule: RNA transcript, 20312 nt
Organism: Mus musculus (house mouse)
Lineage: Eukaryota; Metazoa; Chordata; Mammalia; Rodentia; Muridae
Gene: Ylpm1
Gene name: YLP motif containing 1
Exons: 20
Source: RefSeq, marked validated